GUAGUCCACGCUGUAAACGAUGUCGAUUUGGAGGUUGUGCCCUUGAGGCGUGGCUUCCGGAGCUAACGCGUUAAAUCGACCGCCUGGGGAGUACGGCCGCAAGGUUAAAACUCAAAUGAAUUGACGGGGGCCCGCACAAGCGGUGGAGCAUGUGGUUUAAUUCGAUGCAACGCGAAGAACCUUACCUACUCUUGACAUCCAGAGAACUUAGCAGAGAUGCUUUGGUGCCUUCGGGAACUCUGAGACAGGUGCUGCAUGGCUGUCGUCAGCUCGUGUUGUGAAAUGUUGGGUUAAGUCCCGCAACGAGCGCAACCCUUAUCCUUUGUUGCCAGCGGUUCGGCCGGGAACUCAAAGGAGACUGCCAGUGAUAAACUGGAGGAAGGUGGGGAUGACGUCAAGUCAUCAUGGCCCUUACGAGUAGGGCUACACACGUGCUACAAUGGCAUAUACAAAGAGAAGCGACCUCGCGAGAGCAAGCGGACCUCAUAAAGUAUGUCGUAGUCCGGAUUGGAGUCUGCAACUCGACUCCAUGAAGUCGGAAUCGCUAGUAAUCGUAGAUCAGAAUGCUACGGUGAAUACGUUCCCGGGCCUUGUACACACCGCCCGUCACACCAUGGGGAGUGGGUUGCAAAAGAAGUAGGUAGCUUAACCUUCGGGAGGGCGCUUACCACUUUGUGAU
RNAcentral lists this ribosomal RNA (679 nucleotides) under uncultured Serratia sp. RNAcentral describes it as "bacterial SSU rRNA". It matches the Rfam family "Bacterial small subunit ribosomal RNA", at positions 790 to 1468 of the family's 1533-position model. The record is from RNAcentral. Lineage: Bacteria; Pseudomonadati; Pseudomonadota; Gammaproteobacteria; Enterobacterales; Yersiniaceae.